UGGGGAAUAUUGGACAAUGGGCGAAAGCCUGAUCCAGCCAUGCCGCGUGUGUGAAGAAGGUCUUCGGAUUGUAAAGCACUUUAAGUUGGAGGAAGGGCAGUAAGCGAAUACCUUGCUGUUUUGACGUUACCGACAGAAUAAGCACCGGCUAACUCUGUGCCAGCAGCCGCGGUAAUACAGAGGGUGCAAGCGUUAAUCGGAAUUACUGGGCGUAAAGCGCGCGUAGGUGGUUCGUUAAGUUGAAUGUGAAAGCCCCGGGCUCAACCUGGGAACUGCAUCCAAAACUGGCGAGCUAGAGUAGGGCAGAGGGUGGUGGAAUUUCCUGUGUAGCGGUGAAAUGCGUAGAUAUAGGAAGGAACACCAGUGGCGAAGGCGACCACCUGGGCUCAUACUGACACUGAGGUGCGAAAGCGUGGGGAGCAGACAGG
Molecule: ribosomal RNA, 428 nt
Filed under: Pseudomonadota bacterium
Lineage: Bacteria; Pseudomonadati; Pseudomonadota
Description: Proteobacteria bacterium partial 16S ribosomal RNA
Rfam family: Bacterial small subunit ribosomal RNA
Source: RNAcentral